UACGUAGGGGGCAAGCGUUGUCCGGAUUUAUUGGGCGUAAAGAGCUCGUAGGCGGUUUGUCGCGUCUGCCGUGAAAGUCCGGGGCUUAACUCCGGAUCUGCGGUGGGUACGGGCAGACUAGAGUGCAGUAGGGGAGACUGGAAUUCCUGGUGUAGCGGUGGAAUGCGCAGAUAUCAGGAGGAACACCGAUGGCGAAGGCAGGUCUCUGGGCUGUAACUGACGCUGAGGAGCGAAAGCAUGGGGAGCGAACAGGAUUAGAUACCCGUGUAGUCC
RNAcentral lists this ribosomal RNA (273 nucleotides) under uncultured Micrococcaceae bacterium. RNAcentral describes it as "partial 16S ribosomal RNA". It matches the Rfam family "Bacterial small subunit ribosomal RNA", at positions 524 to 796 of the family's 1533-position model. The record is from RNAcentral. Lineage: Bacteria; Bacillati; Actinomycetota; Actinomycetes; Micrococcales; Micrococcaceae.